CCUACGUGUGGCUGCAGUAAGGAAUAUUGGUCAAUGGACGAAAGUCUGAACCAGCCAUGCCGCGUGGAGGAUGAAGGUCCUCUGGAUUGUAAACUUCUUUUAUAUGGGACGAAAAAAGGCCUUUCCAGGUCGUCUGACGGUACCAUAUGAAUAAGCACCGGCUAACUCCGUGCCAGCAGCCGCGGUAAUACGGAGGGUGCAAGCGUUAACCGGAUUCACUGGGUUCAAAGGGUGGGUAGGUGGUCAGGUAUGAAAUCCCCGAGCUUAACUUGGGAACUGCCAUUGAUACUAUCAGUCUUGAAUACCGUGGAGGUCAGCGGAAUAUGUCAUGUAGCGGUGAAAUGCUUAGAUAUGACAUAGAACACCAAUUGCGAAGGCAGCUGGCGACACGAGUAUUGACACUGAGGCACGAAAGCGUGGGGAUCAAACAGGAUUAGAUACCCCUUAGUC
Molecule: ribosomal RNA, 450 nt
Filed under: uncultured bacterium
Lineage: Bacteria
Description: partial 16S ribosomal RNA
Rfam family: Bacterial small subunit ribosomal RNA
Source: RNAcentral